RNAcentral lists this ribosomal RNA (253 nucleotides) under uncultured bacterium. RNAcentral describes it as "partial 16S ribosomal RNA". It matches the Rfam family "Bacterial small subunit ribosomal RNA", at positions 524 to 776 of the family's 1533-position model. The record is from RNAcentral.
UACGGAGGGUGCAAGCGUUAUCCGGAUUCACUGGGUUUAAAGGGCGCGCAGGCGGAUUGGUAAGUCAGUGGUGAAAGGCUUGAGCUUAACUCGGGAACUGCCAUUGAUACUAUCAGUCUUGAAUAUUGUUGAGGUUUGCGGAAUGGGUCAUGUAGCGGUGAAAUGCAUAGAUAUGACCCGGAACACCUAUUGCGAAGGCAGCAGGCUAAACAAAGAUUGACGCUGAGGCUCGAAAGCGUGGGGAUCAAACAGG